RNAcentral lists this signal recognition particle RNA (289 nucleotides) under Aotus nancymaae (Ma's night monkey). RNAcentral's name for it is "Metazoan signal recognition particle RNA (ENSANAG00000001040.1)". It matches the Rfam family "Metazoan signal recognition particle RNA". From Rfam's summary of the family: The signal recognition particle (SRP) is a universally conserved ribonucleoprotein. It is involved in the co-translational targeting of proteins to membranes. The eukaryotic SRP consists of a 300-nucleotide 7S RNA and six proteins: SRPs 72, 68, 54, 19, 14, and 9. The record is from Rfam by way of RNAcentral. Lineage: Eukaryota; Metazoa; Chordata; Mammalia; Primates; Aotidae.
GCCAGGCAUGGUGGAGUGUGCCUAUAGUCCCAGCUACUCAGGAAGCUGAGGUGGGAGGAUCGCUUGAGCCCAGGAGUUUUGGGCUGUAGCGCGCUAUGCCGAUCGGGUGUCCGCAUGAAGUUCGGCAUUAAUAUGGUGACCUCCCGGGAGCGGGGAACCACCAGGUUGCCUAAGGAGGGGUGAACCAGCCCAGGUCAGAAACAGAGCAGGUCAAAACUCCCGUGCGGAUCAGUAGUGGGAUCGCGCCUGUGAAUAGCCACUGCACUCCAGCCUGGGCAACAUAGCGAGA